AUUGAACGCUGGCGGCAUGCUUUACACAUGCAAGUCGAACGGCAGCGCGGGCUUCGGCCUGGCGGCGAGUGGCGAACGGGUGAGUAAUACAUCGGAACGUGCCCAGUAGUGGGGGAUAGCUCGGCGAAAGCCGGAUUAAUACCGCAUACGACCUGAGGGUGAAAGCGGGGGAUCUUCGGACCUCGCGCUAUUGGAGCGGCCGAGGGCAGAUUAGCUAGUUGGUGGGGUAAAGGCCUACCAAGGCGACGAUCUGUAGCUGGUCUGAGAGGACGACCAGCCACACUGGGACUGAGACACGGCCCAGACUCCUACGGGAGGCAGCAGUGGGGAAUUUUGGACAAUGGGCGAAAGCCUGAUCCAGCAAUGCCGCGUGUGUGAUGAAGGCCUUCGGGUUGUAAAGCACUUUUGGCGGGAACGAAAAGGACUGUGCCAAUACCACGGUUCGAUGACGGUACCCGCAGAAUAAGCACCGGCUAACUACGUG
RNAcentral lists this ribosomal RNA (484 nucleotides) under uncultured bacterium. RNAcentral describes it as "partial 16S ribosomal RNA". It matches the Rfam family "Bacterial small subunit ribosomal RNA", at positions 29 to 507 of the family's 1533-position model. The record is from RNAcentral.